RNAcentral lists this long non-coding RNA (304 nucleotides) under Ananas comosus (pineapple). Its description in RNAcentral is "long non-coding RNA (ACOM_LNC034466)". The record is from RNAcentral. Lineage: Eukaryota; Viridiplantae; Streptophyta; Magnoliopsida; Poales; Bromeliaceae.
ACUCGGCACAUUCUACGGGGGUGGAUACGUGACACAGGCUCUCACAGGUUAUAGUCAAAGAAAAAGGGUCUAACUGGUCCUACAAUAAAAACUCACGUGCUCUUGGCACAAACCGAUGCAAAAAUAGCAAACCAGGUCCACUGUCAACCGCGACGGCAUCCGACAAUCCGGAACAGUCUACACACUACUGUAAAAUAAACUCGGCAUCUCAGUACGAGCGUAAAUUCAUUCUACAAUAUUCUGGAUAUCCACUUCAUGCAAACUGCGGCGAUACAAACAAACUACAGCUCCUAAAGUUAAAUAU